Pangasianodon gigas (Mekong giant catfish) is the source of this 70-nucleotide non-coding RNA. The record is from the annotation of a GenBank genome assembly. Lineage: Eukaryota; Metazoa; Chordata; Actinopteri; Siluriformes; Pangasiidae.
CCUGGUGGUCUAGUGGCUAGGAUUCAGUGCUCUAACCGCCACCGCCCGGGUUCGAUUCCUGGUCACUGAA